Molecule: non-coding RNA, 494 nt
Filed under: Stegodyphus mimosarum
Lineage: Eukaryota; Metazoa; Arthropoda; Arachnida; Araneae; Eresidae
Description: eukaryotic small subunit ribosomal RNA
Rfam family: Eukaryotic small subunit ribosomal RNA
Source: Rfam by way of RNAcentral
GGUUUAAUUGGACUCAGCACGGGGAAACUUACUCUGCCGAAUAUAGUAAGGACUGAUAGAUUUAGAGCUUUUUCUCGAUUCGGUGGGUGGUGGUGCAUGACCAUUUUUAGUUGGUGGAGAGAUUUGUGUGGUUACUUCCGAUGACGAACGAGACUUUAGCCUACUAAAUAGAUGCUCCGAGCCGCCCAGACGGUAUAGUGGUUAGGGAAGCUUGACUGCGAUACCGAACGGCCCGGGUUCGAAUUCCAGAGAAGGCAUGGAUGUAAAAUUAUCUGCCCCUUCAUAGGAGGCAACGGUGGCCUCCUAUUACAAUGAAAUGGCCACUCCUGGCUUAGAAGUGGCAAAUGCCGUUAUAGGCAAGUGCUCUUUCCAUUGGGGAAAAAUACAUGCUCUGAUUCUUCGAGUCGUACGUUCUUUUUAGAGGGACAAGCAGCAUUUUGCCGCACAAGAUAAAGGAAUAACAGGUCUGUGAUGCUCUUAAGCUGUGUUCCCAC